This 80-nucleotide transfer RNA is filed under the name Lachnospiraceae bacterium. Its description in RNAcentral is "tRNA-Leu". It matches the Rfam family "tRNA". Rfam says of the family: Transfer RNA (tRNA) molecules are approximately 80 nucleotides in length. Their secondary structure includes four short double-helical elements and three loops (D, anti-codon, and T loops). RNAcentral also lists the same sequence under 1 other name. The record is from RNAcentral. Lineage: Bacteria; Bacillati; Bacillota; Clostridia; Lachnospirales; Lachnospiraceae.
GCGGAUGUGAUGGAAUUGGUAGACAUGCAAGAUUUAGGUUCUUGUGCGCAAGCGUGUGGGUUCGAGUCCCUUCAUCCGCA